CUGGGGGCGCCAGUAGAAGAUGGCGGCCUGGGCGGGUAGCAACGGGGACGCCGCGGCCUUGCCGGUGGGGAAGGCGGCAGUUGAUCGUAUGAUCAGAGAGAACAGCCACAUUUUCACAGACGCUCAGUGUAAAGUGUGCAGUGCAGUGCUCAUCUCAGAGUCCCAGAAGCUAGCUCAUUACCAGAGCAAAAAACAUGCAAACAAAGUGCGGCGGUACAUGUCGAUUCACGGCGAGGAGGAGCUCCGUCAGGGGAAGAAGAUAAAGCUGGAAACCAAGCAGGAGAGCAGCAAUGGAGAUGACAGGAACAAAUGCUGCCCCAUCUGUAACAUGACCUUUUCCUCUCCCGUUGUGGCCAUGUCUCACUACUUAGGCAAGACUCAUGCCAAGAACCUGAAGCUGAAGCAACAGUCCCCCAGAGUGGAAGUAACGAUGCCUCCACAGAAAUGCCCGGCUAACUUUCCUCCCUCUGCUGUAUCUUCCAACGAGGAGAACCAGAGCACUUCUGACCCAGACAAGUUCUGCAGCCUCUGCCAUGCCACUUUCAACAAUCCACUCAUGGCAAAACAGCAUUAUGUAGGCAAGAAACACAGAAAGCAAGAGACCAAACUCAAGCUGAUGGCACACUAUGGUCGUACUCCUGACGCGCCUGCAUCCUCCUCCAUGGCUGGGAAGGGGUACCCCUGCAACACAUGUAAUAUAGUACUGAAUUCCAUAGAGCAGUACCAAGCUCACAUCAGCGGCUUCAAACACAAGAAUCAGAUGCCAGGAGCAGUGCCCAGCGUAGGACGGUUCCCAAGGCAGCAGUAUGUUCGGGAAGAGUCAACUGCCCCCGGGGGCUACAGUUACUUCAGCCAGGACUUCUAGAGCAAUCUGCAGCCCUGUUCUUGGAGCUGACAGGGGCCCAAGAACGAGCAUUCUUUGCCAGCCCACAGUGGCUUCAUUAUCCCUCUGGAUAAGCAAAGCCAUUCCCUCCCACGUGCGCCUGUUGAUCAGCCCCAAGGCUGGACAUCUCUUUGACGAAGGAUCCAGCAGAAGCAGACGUUGGACAGCAGGACCUUGCUCCCCAAGAGCGGUUCUCAUUGUGCAGUCUCUUCCUGUGUGGCUGGUGGGGCGAGGAUGUGUCUGGUACAGGCAGGGUCCAACAGCUGCAAAUAGCCUGUCUCAAGGACACCACCUCCCUCACCUAGAACAAACAGCAUGGAAUUCCUGCGUCUGAUGAGCCAACAUCCUGUGCCAGGGGGUGUCUGUCACCGAAUGAAGGCUCCUGGCUCUCACAGGGAAAUGGCUAGGAGCUGGGUUGUCCAGGGCAGUUGUGAGAGACUACGUCCUGUUCUUCACAGGCUUGAGACCGUGAGUGGUGGGACAGACGGCAGAGCCGUGCUGGCGUUCGGCAUGUGUAUAGCCCACUCAUAAUGAGACAAUGUUUUCAUGCAUUGAGACCAGACUUAGCCUCGUCCAGGGUCUCCUCAUUCCUGCCCGGCUGUGCCCAGGACUCUGCACCAUAUGCCCAGGCGUCGAGCUUGCCAGCUGCCCUAUGGGGUGACAGCAUUCCUCUGCACGGUGCUGCCAUGCUGAGAGAUGCACUCAGCAUACACCCAGCUGUGUGAGGUGGCUAGUUUAUCCAUGACUGAUGGGUCAAGCAGGUAUCUUGAGGUACUGGACUCUGGCCUUGAUUCUUCAGGGCUUGGCUCUGUGCUGAGGCCUUGUCCUGUGUGCAAGGUGACCGCACAGCACACAAGGGGCAUGUGCAAUGUGAGAGAGCAGAGGGGGAAUGUGGCUUCCUUGCUUUGCUCGGAGUGUAGAAUCUGGAUUAUCCUGCCCUGAUUUGCAUUUUAUUUGUGGUAGCCAAGAGGCUAUGUCUUGAUAAGAGAGUGUUUCACAGCUUGAAGGACAGGCAAAUACCAGUACUGGGAUACCUAUACCUUGAUCCUCACACUGGCUCAGCUGGGGGGAGGGAUGGGCUGACUUCCCUGCAUUUCCAUUUGCUUCAUGCCCAUUUGAAAAAACCACCUACCCCCUUGGGUAUCCUGAGGGAAAAUGUGCAGCUCCCCCAGGCUCAAUAUCCUGAGAACUUGCUUCCCCAGUGGAUGGUUAUGGCUGGCAGCUGCCUCAAGCCAGGCUCCAGUAAGGCCUCCUCCCGGCCCAGUGCAGAGCUGGGAAGGGGUGUCAUGUAACCUGUGUGUUUCCUUGGCUGCCUCCCUUGGAGGGGGGCAUGGGAGCAUUUUUACAGCACUCUGGCCACUUUGCUUCUCCUUGGGCAGGCACCUAGGGCUCCCUAUGCUGCCGGGGGUGGGAAGCCUGCUCCAUGGGGAAACGCCGCUCUCCACCAGGGCCAGGAGGCUGGCGUACUAUCACCCCUGUGAUUAGCUUAUCAACGGCCUGACCUCAGAGCCAAGCCUUGCAAUGAACUGCUGCCAACUGGGUUUCCAGGGGGCCUUACUACAGCCAGCUGAGGGCCCUGGGCUUGCUCUGUGGGGCUCGAGCUGAAAGUGCUGGCCAGGGAGCGAUCUGCUGUAACUAAGCCAGCCAAGUGCCUGCAGCUGCCAGGGAGUGGAAAGCCUGCCUGAGGAGAUGCUCUUGGCACUGUUCGGAUGCAGGGCACAAACCCGAAAUUGGCUGAGAGUUCCCUGCUGAGACUUCACCAGCCAGCCAGCCCUCCACUGUAAACUGCGGCCCUUCCCCAGCCUGGCCAUUGAGUCAGACCCCUGGGUGCACUGCUCUGUACGCCAAGAAUCUCAGCAAUGCUCAGGCUGCUCCCACCCCCUGAGGGCCAGUCGCUUACCUCUGGGCUAUUGCCCCCUAGAUCUCACAUUAAGGACAAGGCCUGUCGCCAAGCCUGUAAUUAUUUACACAUUUAUUAUACAGGGAAAAGACAGGAGUUAUUUGUCAUGGAGUCACCAGGCGAUGCUCUGGACCUGCUCCCAACAAAACCAGGCAGGACUCUGGGGAGUCUCCUGU
Gopherus evgoodei (Goodes thornscrub tortoise) is the source of this 2959-nucleotide RNA transcript. It is a transcript of the gene named zinc finger protein 346, with no coding region annotated. The transcript has 8 exons. Lineage: Eukaryota; Metazoa; Chordata; Testudines; Testudinidae. The record is from RefSeq and is a predicted model, not a curated record.